AACGAACGCUGGCGGCAGGCCUAACACAUGCAAGUCGAACGAACUCUUCGGAGUUAGGGGCGGACGGGGGAGUAACACGUGGGAACGUGCCGUUAGGUUCGGAAUCAUUCAGGGAAACUUGAGCUAAGACAGAAGGGGCCCUUCGCGGGAAGGAGCUAUGGCCGUUAGCCCGGCAUGCGUCUGUUUAGCUAGUUGGUGAGGUAAAGGCUCACCAAGGGGACGAUCAGUAGCUGGUCUGAGAGGAUGCUCAACCACAGUGGGCCUGAGACACGGGCCAAAGGCCUACGCGAGGCAGCAGAGGGGAGUCUUGCGCAAUGGGCGAAAGCCUAGCGCAGCCAUGCCGCGUGAAUGGUGUAGCUCUUAGGAUAGUAGAAUUCUUUCACACGAGACGAUAAUGACGGUAACCGGAAAAGAAGCCCCGGCUAACUUCGUG
This 433-nucleotide ribosomal RNA is filed under the name uncultured bacterium. Its description in RNAcentral is "partial 16S ribosomal RNA". It matches the Rfam family "Bacterial small subunit ribosomal RNA", at positions 29 to 507 of the family's 1533-position model. The record is from RNAcentral.